GGGAAAUUCAUUCGUGUCUCGGCUGACGAGACGGCGUCGGGCGUGCGUGCGACGGUGGAAGGGCGUUAUCCGUUUCGGCGGUAUCGUCCGUUCCGACCGCGCCGUGCGUCCUUCGAGCCGUCCCCGAACCGUGCACUUUUCCCCUAGUAGGACGUCGCGAUCCGUCGGGCGUCGGUCUAAGGCACGCGGUGGAGCUCGCGCGGGCGUCUUACGACGUUCGAGCCGCGCGAACCCGCGUCGUCCCGACCGACACGCUCGACGGUAUACCGAAAGAGGCGCGAGGCCGCUAUCCAUUUUAUAGAGAGCGUCCGUAUCGACGGCAAGCGCGUCCGGCGCGUACGAAGAGCGGACUUAGUGCCGAUCCCGUCCCCGGACGACUGUUGGCCGUCGGAUAUCUCGGACAGACCUCGAAAUCGGAACGCGCACGCAUCCGUGUGUGUGCGUUCCGUAUCGCCGAUCGGCGACGCUAUAGCUUUGGGUAAUCUCAGGACCCGUCUUGAA
This 501-nucleotide ribosomal RNA is filed under the name Cryptocephalus aulicus. RNAcentral's name for it is "eukaryotic LSU rRNA". The record is from RNAcentral. Lineage: Eukaryota; Metazoa; Arthropoda; Insecta; Coleoptera; Chrysomelidae.